This 809-nucleotide ribosomal RNA is filed under the name uncultured bacterium. RNAcentral describes it as "bacterial SSU rRNA". It matches the Rfam family "Bacterial small subunit ribosomal RNA", at positions 58 to 916 of the family's 1533-position model. The record is from RNAcentral.
CAAGUCGAACGCAGUAGCAAUACUGAGUGGCAGACGGGUGAGUAACAUGUGGGAAUCUGCCUUGUGGUUCAGGACAACAUUGGGAAACCGAUGCUAAUACUGGAUAAGCCCUUACGGGGAAAGUUUUAAUGCCAUAAGAUGAGCCCGCAUUUGAUUAGUUAGUUGGUGAGGUAAUGGCUCACCAAGACAAUGAUCAAUAGCUGAUCUGAGAGGAUGAUCAGCCACACUGGGACUGAGACACGGCCCAGACUCCUACGGGAGGCAGCAGUGGGGAAUCUUGCACAAUGGAGGAAACUCUGAUGCAGCGAUGCCGCGUGAGUGAAGAAGGCCUUUGGGUUGUAAAGCUCUUUUGUAGGGGAAGAUAAUGACUGUACCCUAAGAAUAAGGUCCGGCUAACUUCGUGCCAGCAGCCGCGGUAAUACGGAGGGACCUAGCGUAGUUCGGAAUUACUGGGCGUAAAGCGCGCGUAGGCCGUUGAGUUAGUUAAUUGUGAAAUCCCAAAGCUUAACUUUGGAACUGCAAUUAAAACUGCUCGACUAGAGUUUGAUAGAGGAAAGCGGAAUACAUAGUGUAGAGGUGAAAUUCGUAGAUAUUAUGUAGAACACCAGUUGCGAAGGCGGCUUUCUGGAUCAACACUGACGCUGAGGCGCGAAAGUAUGGGUAGCAAGGAGGAUUAGAUACCCUCGUAGUCCAUACCAUAAACGAUGAUUGCUAGAUGUUGGAAAUUUAUUUUCAGUAUCGCAGCUAACGCAUUAAGCAAUCCGCCUGGGGAGUACGACCGCAAGGUUAAAACUCAAAUGAAUUGACGG